This 468-nucleotide ribosomal RNA is filed under the name uncultured bacterium. RNAcentral's name for it is "partial 16S ribosomal RNA". It matches the Rfam family "Bacterial small subunit ribosomal RNA", at positions 28 to 507 of the family's 1533-position model. The record is from RNAcentral.
GACGAACGCUGGCGGCGUGCUUAACACAUGCAAGUCGAACGGAAAGGCCAUGCUUUUGUGGGGUGCUCGAGUGGCGAACGGGUGAGUAACACGUGAGUAACCUGCCCUUGACUUUGGGAUAACUUCAGGAAACUGGGGCUAAUACCGGAUAGGAGCUCCUGCUGCAUGGUGGGGGUUGGAAAGUUUCGGCGGUUGGGGAUGGACUGGCGGCUUCUCCGCUUGUUGGUGGGGUAGGGGCUUACCAAGGCUUUGACGGGUAGCCGGCCUGAGAGGGCGACCGGCCACAUUGGGACUAAGAGACGGCCCAGACGCCAACGGGAGGCAGCAGUGGGGAAUAUUGCACAAUGGGCGGAAGCCUGAUGCAGCAACGCCGCGUGCGGGAUGACGGCCUUCGGGUUGUAAACCGCUUUCGCCUGUGACGAAGCGUGAGUGACGGUAAUGGGUAAAGAAGCACCGGCUAACUACGUG